Long non-coding RNA from Homo sapiens (human), 1898 nucleotides. Ensembl annotates it as testicular cell adhesion molecule 1, pseudogene. Its record names the gene TCAM1P. NCBI's taxonomy places the organism in Eukaryota, Metazoa, Chordata, Mammalia, Primates, Hominidae. The record is from Ensembl.
UGCUGUCUUUUUCUCUCCAGCCUUUGGCCCUUCUUAUCAGGAUGAAAACGCUUCUGUUUGGUGUCUGGACCCUGCUGGCCUUGAUCCUUUGCCCAGGGGUCCCGGAAGAGUUGUUUGAGGUUUCUAUUUGGCCAAGUCAGGCCCUGGUGGAGUUUGGACAGUCCCUAGUGGUCAACUGCAGCACUACUUGCCCAGACCCAGGACCCAGUGGAAUUGAGACCUUCUUAAAGAAAACUCAGGUGGGCAAAGGGCCUCAGUGGAAAGAGUUUCUUCUGGAGGAUGUCACAGAGAAUUCCAUCCUGCAGUGCUUCUUCUCUUGUGCAGGGAUUCAAAAGGACACAAGCCUUGGCAUCACUGUGUAUUAGCCACCAGAGCAAGUGAUCCUGGAGCUGCAGCCUGCCUGGGUGGCUGUGGACGAAGCCUUCACAGUGAAGUGUCAUGUACCCAGUGUAGCACCCUUGGAGAGUCUCACCCUUGCCCUUCUCCAGGGUAACCAAGAACUGCAUAGAAAGAACUUUACGAGCUUGGCUGUGGCCUCCCAAAGAGCUGAAGUCAUCAUCAGUGUCAGAGCCCAAAAGGAGAAUGACAGAUGCAAUUCUUCCUGCCAUGCAGAACUGGACUUGAGUUUGCAAGGUGGGAGGCUCUUUCAAGGCAGCUCACCCAUCAGAAUAGUCCGGAUCUUUGAAUUCUCUCAGAGUCCCCACAUCUGGGUCUCUUCCCUUUUGGAGGCUGGGAUGGCGGAGACUGUGAGCUGCGAGGUGGCUAGGGUGUUUCCAGCCAAAGAAGUUAUGUUCCACAUGUUCCUGGAAGACCAAGAGCUGAGCUCCUUCCUUUCCUGGGAGGGGGACACAGCAUGGGCCAAUGCUACCAUUCGGACCAUGGAGGCUGGUGAUCAGGAACUGUCUUGCUUUGCAUCUCUGGGUGCAAUGGAACAGAAGACAAGAAAGCUAGUGCAUAGCUACAAUAAGUGGCCUGGCUCUUCCUUUUUCAUACGGGUUCUCUGCUGCUGAAAACACAGAGUAACGGGUUGGUGAUUCGGCUGUAGACAUCCCUGCUGCCCUUUGCUGGGUAUGCUCUCAAGUGAACAUGAGUCUUCAUCUUUCUCUGGCUUCCCUCCACCAAUCCUGGAGCUAAAAGAAUCAUACCCAUUGGCAGGGACCGACAUUAAUGUGACCUGCUCAGGGCAUGUAUUAACAUCACCCAGCCCUACUCUUCGGCUUCAGGGAGCCCCAGACCUCCCUGCUGGGGAGCCUGCCUGGCUUCUACUUACUGCCAGGGAGGAAGAUGAUGGCUGAAAUUUCUCCUGCGAGGCCUCUUUGGUGGUGCAGGGUCAGCGGUUGAUGAAAACCACUGUGAUCCAGCUCCAUAUCCUAUGCAAGCCACAGUUAGAGGAAUCCAGUUGCCCUGGCAAACAGACCUGGCUGGAAGGGAUGGAACACACGCUCGCCUGCGUCCCAAAGGGAAACCCAGCUCCAGCCUUGGUGUGUACCUGGAAUGGGGUGGUCUUUGACCUUGAAGUGCCACAGAAGGCAACCUAGAACCACACUGGAACCUACCGCUACACAGCCACUAACCAGCUGGGCUCUGUCAGCAAAGACAUUGCUGUCAUUGUUCAAGGACUGGAUGAAGGAAUAAGCUCUACCCUCUUUGUCAUUAUUACCGUUGCCCUUGGAGUGGGUGUCAUCACCAUAGCACUGUAUUUGAGCUAUCGGCCCUGCAAAGUGGACAGGAGGAAAUUGCUCUAUAGGCAGAAAGAGGAGGACAAAGAGGAGGAAAGCCAGUUUGCUGUUCAGGAAGAGAAAAGUACAACUCAUAUAAUUGACAACUGUUUGAUUGAAUGAGACUUCUGCUACUGUGGUUUCCCAGGGAGGGAAGAAGGGAUAGAGGAGAAAGGAAGA